Molecule: unclassified non-coding RNA, 376 nt
Filed under: fungal sp.
Lineage: Eukaryota; Fungi
Description: partial internal transcribed spacer region
Rfam family: Eukaryotic small subunit ribosomal RNA (bases 1-46)
Source: RNAcentral
AAGUCGUAACAAGGUUUCCGUAGGUGAACCUGCGGAAGGAUCAUUAACACGUAUCCAACGUUAAACAACCCUGUGAACUUUCAGCCUGCUCUUGUAACCAUGAGGAACAGCAAUCCCGGUAAAUCAUUGCAAACAGUUUUGAUAAUUGAGCGGUAGAGGCAGUGGCAUGGCUUCCCCAAGCAGUUAGUGAAUGACAGUGUCACUGAUUGUGUAAGGAUAACGCCUCACGGUUGCCAGAGGUCGAUCACCGACCGGCAGACAUGUCACAGGGUCACCACGCCCCUUAAUCACCCCAAUUUGAAAUUGCUCCUACCUGGUGGUAACGCACUGGGUCAAAAAAACCGAACAACUGUUAACAAUGGAUAUCUUGGUUCUC